UAUUGUUGCCCAAGAGGAUUAUUUUGAAGGUGGUUGUGCGUCGGUAUUUUAAAACUUCAUGGUAAGGACUUUUAUGCCAAGUCCCCAAACUUUUGGAUCCUACUACGUAUAUAUAAUUUUUAUAUAUAACAGAAAUCUAGUUCAUAAUUUUAUUUAUAAUUCUUUCAAAGGUGUUUUUCAGAAAGUUUUUAAAAAUGUUUUUCAAAUCUGUAAGGAAGGCAUGGUGUUUGACACACUCGCUUUCCUCUUUGCUAAAAUAAUAUUCAUUAAUGUUUUUUUUUUAUAAUUUACACAGUUUUAAUUCAG
This 306-nucleotide long non-coding RNA is filed under the name Androctonus crassicauda. The record is from RNAcentral. Lineage: Eukaryota; Metazoa; Arthropoda; Arachnida; Scorpiones; Buthidae.